Long non-coding RNA from Heterocephalus glaber (naked mole-rat), 9827 nucleotides. NCBI's taxonomy places the organism in Eukaryota, Metazoa, Chordata, Mammalia, Rodentia, Bathyergidae. The record is from Ensembl.
CCCCUUCCCCUCUGAUCUGUCCCUGUUCCCUCCAACUCUCAUGUCCUUUCCAUUUGGAAAAGCUCUAUUUCCAUUUUUCUUCAAUUUCCUUUUUAAAAAUCCCCUUUCCCUUCCUUCCUUCCCUCCUCCCUCCAUCUGUUAUUCCCCUUUCCAUGUGAACAAGAUCUCCCUACUUCCUAUUAUCUUUUAUUUUGCUCUCUAUUUGUACUUCAGGUUUCUCCUAGAAGAGAACCCAUGUGAUAUUUAGACUUACGUGUCUGAUCCUCCUGCCUUAAAGCCACUGAGUAGCUGGGAUUACAGGCCUGCACCACCCCACCAGGAUUAAUGUUGUAUUUUUAAUGGUCUUAUUAUUCUCUCAAUUACAAGCGCUUAUUUCAUAGUCUUUACCAUUAGAGACAACAGGACUGUCUUAACUACACUUAAAGAAUAACCAACAUGUUUUCCUUAAUAUUGUGUCCAUUAAAUAGUUAAAAUAUAAAAAAGAAAAUUAUUAGAAAAAUACAAUAGCACAAGAAGAAUUAUCAUUAUUCUUUCUAGUUUUCACUUUCUAUUUAGAAAACACACGAGAUAGAAACUGUACCUUAACUUUGACCCAGUUACAGUGGUGAAGCAAUAUGAACUCUGCCCCUGAACGCCAACCUGGAAGUGGAGGUUAUUGCUUCUUCCCACAUGGGUGUCAGUUCAAUUUGAUAAGUGUACCACAUGAACCAACCAUUUAGGAAGCAAGGAAUUAAGAAAACACAAUUCCUGUCUCCCAGAAGCUUAUAGUAUAGAGGAGGUUUUUUUUUGAAUGGUCAAAGUCAGAACAGGUUUUCUUUGUUUAUUCUUUUUGUCGGGAUAGAAAUUGUAAAAAUUUCUCGGCUGCUUCCUUUGGGAAAACGAAGUACUUUAAAAACAAUAUAUAUAUUCAAAAUUCAAAGGAACUGAAGUCAGUACAAUGAGGAGAUGAGUACACUCCCAUGACCACUGAAUGAUUAUUCACAAUGUCCAGUCUUUUUAGAAAUGUACCGCAACGUUUCCUUGGGGGAGCAGGUACUGGGGAUGGAAUGCACUCAGUCUGCACUGAGCUACAGAUGUUUCCAAGGCCGAGACAUCCGAAGACUUGACUGGGGCAGAAGCUCUGCUUUGAAAGUGACUCACUCAAAUACGUGGCAAAUUGGUACCCUCUGAAGAGUUCUUGAUCUGUUAAACUUGUACCUCUGCCCAGAGCUUGUUGAAUGUCCACACCCUCACCACUAACCCAACAAGCUCCAAGAGAGAUGGAGGCUGCAUUAUCUUUAUAACCUAACCUCAUGAGAUAAGUGUUGUCAUUUCUCAAAUAUCUUAUUGGCUAAACCAGUCAUGCCUGCUCAUUUUUAAAUGAAACUAUACAAACCAUGUAAAACAGGAGAACUACACACAAAAUAUGCAAAGAAUCAUUGGGCCAUUUUCAAGGCUGGCUACCACAAGGACCAAUGUUUGACUUUAGAAUUUUCAUUAUCUGUUACUUUAAACAUAAAACCUUUUUAAAAAUUAUCAAUGUGAUAUAUCUCUUCCUAUUUUUCAAACAUUUCUGAAUUUUUUAUUUAGGUAGGUCUUUAUAAGAAAUGGAAUUGGAAUUUGUUCUGCUUUUUAUUUUCUGUCUGACAAUCCCCUUUAACUGAAAAAUGGACUCUGUCGUAUUUGUAUUUAUUUUGAUUACUGAUGUAUUUGGGUUUGUUUCUACUAUCUACUACUGUAUUUUUCUGUGUUAACUUUUUCCCCUCCUUUCUUCUCCUUGACCAACAUUUUUAAUCAGUGUAUAGCACUUUCACUAUAUCAAGUGAAAUAUAGCCAUAUUCUGAUUGUGAUUAAACCAUAAUGUAAUUGAAGACUUUUAAAUAAAUAUGAAGAUCAGGGUCUUUCGUCAAGUUUGUAUUUCAACCUUUGUCUUACUGAGUAUUAUCUUGCCUGUGUUCUCUGUCCCACCUUUGUAACUCUUCAAUUACACUUUCUGUUUCCAUACUACAUAUCUUAAAAGUCAUUUUUAUAUAUUCCAGCUAUAUCUCUUCACUUUCCUUUGUAUGCAAUUUAUUCAGACCUAUUUUAUAUUUCAAUAAUACCCUUUUCAGCAAUUUUACUCUGCUGUACAAGCCAUGCAAUGAAUUUUACUCUUCUUUUAUUUUACUUUCAAAAUGUCAGUUGGUUCUCUUUCACAUGUAUCUAUAUAUUUGCUUUUUUUCCCCACGUACUGAAGAUUGAACCCAGAGCCUUCCCGCUAGCUGCAUCUUCUCCCCCCUGACCCACCCCACCCCCUUUUUUUUUCAGACACAGUCUCACUAAGUCACUAAGUUGUCCAGGUUGUGAUUGAACUGUGAUCCUCUUGAUUAUGUUUCCUAGGGCUGGGAUUACAGGUGUGUGCCACCAUGCCAGCUUCUACUUGCUUUUAUAGUUUUUUGUCUUUUACCGUUGUCACCUAAAUUACUUUUCUUUUUUUUUUUUUUUUUGAGGUUUCCCCAAAAUGCUUUACUAAGACAAAGGUGGGGGAGGGGCAGGGAAGGAUCCUUCACCCCAGAGACUGAAGCCCCCCCCCCGCCCCCCUGCAGCCACCCGGCUGAUUCAGUGCACUGCAGGGAGGGCCUUCUGGGCUCCAGGGAGAACUGCUGGGGCGAGAGCAGGCGGGGUCCGCGUUGCUUUCCUCAUGCAGCGCUAAAUUACUUUUAAACAUAUCAACUAUAAUUGAUUUGCAUUAUAAAAGUGAAAGUUAGCUCCAUCUGUUUCAGGUCUUCUCCUUCUUAAUUUUUCCUGAAGACUCUUUCUGUGAUGCUCUAGUCUAUCAAUUUAGUAGUUAAGUUUUGACGAAUCUCAUAUGUUUUGAAAUUUUAUCUGUGAAAAUUAUUUAAGACCUUGAUAAAGAGAUUUUUCUGGUGGGGGUGGGCUGGGAGUGUAGCUUAGAGGUGUAGCACUUGCUAUCAUGACCAAGACCCUGGAUUCAAACCUCAGCACCACAAAACAAAUAGACAAAAAAAAAAAAAAAAAAAAGAAGCAUGAAAAUAUUUUCCUUUUCACAGGAUUUUUGCUAAUUUCUACAAAGUACGUAGGGACACUAAAAAUCAUGUAUCAUUUAAACUGAAAUUUUACAUUUUUAUACAUUUUUGGUUAUAUAUGUAAAAUGAAUCUGACUUACAGGGAGAUGCGAUGGGGUAUUUUCUUGAGGUGAUACUCUCUUUUUUUCACUCUACACCCAAAACCAAACCAAUAUUCAUAGUCUCUCUCCCUCCCUCUCUCCCUGUCUCCCUCCUUCUCUCUUGCUCUCCCUCUCUCCCUGUCUCCCUCUCUCCCUGUCUCCCUCUCUCUCUCUCUCUCUCUCUCUCUCUCUCGCUCUCAUUUAUUUCAUUUACAGUAAGUGUUGCCUUUCAGGGAUCCUAUUUAUAAAGAGAGGUUUCUGACCGGACUUGCAAACUUUUGCAGCCAAAAUAGAUUAUAUUCAUGAAAACUGAUAUCUUAAACUUUAGACUGUAUGCCAUAAAGAUUGCCAAACAUCUCCAGGGAAAGCAUCUAUUUCAGUGCUUGUUUAUUUCUUUUGAUUUGUGAUUUCAUACUGCUCAUGGACUAUGAUAAUUCCCCCUUACUGUCCCUCCACCUCAGUUAUGCAAUUAAAUAAUCUUUAAGCAUAUAUACUGUGUGCAAUUUUUUUUUUUUUUUUUUUGCUAAUGGGAAAUUUGCUAGUGGGAAGAUUUUCUAAAUCUAUCAUGUUGUCUGAAAUUAUAGGAGGAAUGACCAUGGGAUUUCUCAUCAGAAAAGAGCAAAAUUCUAUUUUUUAAUUUGUAUUUUUAGUGAAUGUUUGCUGUACACGAUUGCAUUCAUUAUAAUGAGUUGGUAUUUGUACAUAACACAUCCUAAUUUUUUUUCAUCUGCUUCCCUUGCCCUCGCUCAUCCCUCCAUCUCAUGGUUACUUUCUCUUUUGCAAAAGAUUUAUUUUUCUUACUAUCUAUAUUUACUUUGCUCUUUAUUUAUAUUUUGGGUUUCUCAUAUAAGAGAAACGAUGCAAUAUUUAAGCUUGUGUGUGUGAUUUAUUCCACCUAACAUUAUGGUCUCAUCGUGCAUCCGUUAUCUUAAAAAUGACUAGAGUUUAUCCUUCAUUCUUGAACUCAGACUUUUGAAUUCCAUCAGCCUUCAUUCUUCAAAAGAAACAAAACACAGCUACCACCACACAUUUUUGAAAUAUUGAGAUUAUCAUUAAUCCCAGAAAAGUAGUAUUAGAUACUACUGACUCCAUCAUGAGAAAGAGUUUUAACUGUGGUGAGCAACAAAGAACCAAUAAUCUUGUACUAUGUUAGAUGUAAAAUAAGAGAUUUCCUAUGGUGAAAGCAAAGGGCAAUGGUCAGAAACUGAAACGGGAGAGAAAAAGACUGAAAUAAAGACUUCCUAUAUAUUUAUACAUUCUCUUUCUUUAAAAAGAAAAGUGAAAAAUAUUGUCUAACAUUAUACUGAAGUUUCUUUUAUUUAAGAAACAAACAAAAACUAUAGACACAUACUUUUGCAAGAGAGUCUGAAUUCUACAAGUAUUUGAUCUCAGAAAUCUAAAGUGCGCAAAUAAUUUAUGUACAAAUUUAGUAAAUAAUGAACAGAGUCCCUUCAACCUGAGGUUUUCUUGCUCUAUUCUCUUUCAUUGAAGGGUAUCACCAACCAUCCAUUUAGCAAGCUGGAUAGUUAAAAAUUACUGAAGGAAUCUUUCACACAUUUGCCAUCAAAUCUUUCACAUUUUUUCCUCAUAAUCUCUCUGCAAUCAAUCUACCUCUUCUUAUUUCCUCUACCAGCAUCUUUGCAUGAAUUAUUGUGAUAUGCCUCCCAGACUUCUCAAAUAUCUCAAUUAGCAUGGGAACUGGUACACAGGCCCAUAAUCUCAGCACUUAGGAGGCUGAGACAGAAGGAUAGUGAUUUUGAGGCCAGCCUGGGUAACAUUGUGAUUUCAAGGCCAGCCUGCACUUCAUAGCAAGACCUUGUCUCACAAAACAAAAUAAAGGGCCGGGGAUUUAGCUCAGUGGUUCCGCUGCUUGCCUCACAAGCACAAGGAGACCCGAGUUUGAUCCCCGGUACCAAAAGAGAAACAAAAAAAACCAAAAUAAAACAAAAUCUCCAUAGCUUCUUGUAACUUUGGAGGAAGGAAAAAAUGUUAUCUAUGAUAACAUCAUCUACAAGAUUCAUAUUUUACCCUUUUCCUACAUCUUACUAAUAUUCUUCAAAAUAUUCGUUUCUCUUUACACAAUUCCAUUAGCGUUCUUUCUUUUCUUCAAAAUCAUCAUGUUCCUUCCUGUACCACAAGAGUUUUCAUAUGUCAGAUUCCCUACAAGGAAUAUUCUCCUUCCUUUCUUUUCUUUCAUGUUAAUUUUCACUCCCUAUCAACUAUCAUAUGAAUUCAAACUUUUUUGGUGAAGCUCUCUCUGCAGUUUUUUUUAUUAGACUGCAAACCUAUUGAAGUAUCACGUCUCAUUCAGUAAACUUUGAGGAAGUAUAAUUAUUAAAUUGAUGUCUACCUUUACUCUAGCCCAAAGCUCCAUGAACAUAAGGAAAUUAGCUAACACCUUACUGUUCAUAAGAAAUAGUUUAUUUUCUUUUUAAUUAUAAAAUAUAUUGGAAGUAGGAACAUAUAUAUAAUAAUAAUAAAUAAAAUAUCAAGGAAUAUUACCAAGGAAGAACAUACUUGUCAGUUUAUAAAAGUCCCAUUUAUGCCUCUCUCCAAUUAUCUAUCCACUUGCCAUAUAUAUGUAAAACCUAGCAUUAACCUGAAGUUUCAACCAUUGUCCCUACCUUUAGCAUAAGCAAUAGUAAUAUUUAUUCAUUAAAUAAAAGUAUAUCUAGAUUUUCUAGUUUUUUAUCUGAUAUAAAAGGAGGAAUAUUCAAUAUAUCCAUCUUUAAUUUGCUUCUACCACCUACUGUUUUAUUUCUGGAAUUGAACCUUACUCUUGGGUAUAUUACUAGUCCAUUUGUUCUCACUACAAUGUAGUCUCCCACUGUAUAUCCACAAUGUUUUACUCAUUCCACUAUUGAUGGACAUGGACAUUGUUUGUCGAUUUCUUCUAUUAAAUAAUACUGCCCUGACUCAUACUUUGCUACCUGCCUCCUUACAUUUUUCUGGGAUACGUAUCUAGGAAAGAAGCUUCUGGCUUAAGGUGCUUCUUGAAUUCAUUUAAAUUAGUAAAAUAUAAGCUACUUUAUAUGCUAUGCAUAUAAACAUUUGUAGGAGUGUUCUAUUUUUUACAUCUUUUCAAUACUUACUCUUAUCUAAAUCAAAGAGACAUAUGCUUUGAAAUUUUAACCUAUUUCAUUAAUAUAAUGAUUCAUGCAAAAGUUUUUAUCAAAAUAUACAACAUAUAUCCGAUGUUAAACUGGAUGCCAAUAUAUUUUUAAUGUAUACCUUAUUUCAACAGUUAGAGCCUGCAUGACUGUGACGGUUGAUACUCAACAUCAGAGCACAUGCAAUGAUUAAAAGAAGAUAAGGUUUGAUGACCACAGUGCUGCAUACCUAUAAUUCUAGCAUUCUGGGAGCCUGGGGCAGGAGGAUCCCAAGUUUGGGCCCACCAGGGCAACUUGGCAACUUAAAAGCCUGGUGGCACAAGCCUGGAAUCCGAGUACAGUACUCACAAGGCUGAAGUAGGAAGAUCGCUGCAAGUUUGAGGCCAACCUGGGAUACAUAUUGAGUUCAAAGCCAGACUAAAUUACAUAGCAAAACCCUGUCUCAAGACAACAACAACAAAAAGUUCUUUUCAAAUUAUAUGUGGAAUAAAGAAUCCGCAGGCCUUCUUCUUUUACAUUGUUAAAAUUGUAUCCUAAUUUCUUAUCUCCUUUUGCUCUCCCAUCCUUUGUUUUACUCCUUUCUAGCAAUUAGCACUCAAGCAUGUGCUUCUGCAACCUCCCAGCCAGGUGGGCUUAUUUGGUUGUCACAAACCAUCCAUAGAUAGGGAAUAAGAAAUGUAGAGAUUAGAAUAAACUCACAGAAAUUAAGAAUAAGGUUGAGGAUCUGCUCAUGUACAUGUGGUGGGUAGGAGUAAAUUCAGAAGGAGUCUUGAAUGGAAAGGAUAAACACUCUGGGAUUUAAAAAUAAUAAUAAUUUGGCUUUUUUAGAGAACUAAGAAAACCAGGAUAUGACCAGAAUCUAAUCAGUAAAAGAGAAUUACAAGAGGUAGGAGUCUGAGAGAUGGCAGAACCUGGAACAGAAGAUGCCUCGCUGGCACAAUGAAAAGUCUGAAUGACAUUCCUAGUACAAUGGAAAACCAACCGGAUGGUCUGAAAUGUGAGGAUGACAUGUUCCUGCUUGUCCUCUGAAGGCACCAUGGAAAAGAGAUGUACAUGGAAACUGAGAGAGCAGUUAAUAGGCUACUGCUAUCCAGGUAAUGAAUAAUCGUGGCUUAGAUAAUGUAAAACUUAGUAGCAAUAAAACAAAAGUUAAGUUGAAAGCUUGAGGCUCAUUCAGAGGUAAUACUGGCAAAGAUCUAAUUCAUGGAAAAACUGAUAAGAUAUAUAAAGAAAAGAGAUAUUAAAGAAGACUUCUGGUGUUUUGAAUUAAGUGAAAAAUUAAAAGAGGUCUCAUUUUCAAUACCUGUUUCCAACAUCAUAAGAGGGUAAAAAUCAUAGAGAAGAAAAGAAUAUUUCCAUUUAUAUAAGCAGCUACUAAGUACAGAUAUGACACUGGGUGGUAUCUUAUUUAUAUUGUUCAAUUAGAGUUUUUAGAAAGCCUACGAAAAUAGGUGGUAACAUCCUAUGUUGCAGUAGAGAUGGGGGACUCCAGAACGAAGAAACUCGAUUUCUUGUCAAGUAUUUGGGAAGCUCAGUCACAGAGCCUACUUCCUGCUGGCUAAACGUCCAUACCAGGACUUGAUAAUUUCCUCUAAAUCAAUGAGGUACUGCUCCUAAGAUAUUUAUUGCAAGAUAGCUAAAGUUAUAACCCAACUGAUAAUCUAGUCUUAAACAGGCUCAGUGAAGUGAGCUCAUUGCUUCAAACACCUGUGAUUUGCAAUUAUCUAUACUGUUGGCAAAAUUGGUGUUUACGAGAGUGAGUCAUGGAGCUUUUACUGCAAUCUGGGUAGUUAGGAUUCUACCUGAGAAACUGAAGAAAUAUGUUUAAUGGAUAACUUCAAAUACAGAGACUGCCCUUUGUACUUUAAAGGCUGCCUGUGUUUAUUUCUUUUAAUCAGGGCAGAGGAGAUGCCACCAUGAACAACGUUCCUGGGCACUGGUUUUACAUCUUCACAUUUUUGCUAUCUGCACAAAUAGCAUUUUGCUAUAAUCCCUUUCCUAAGAGGAAUAGAGUUUAGCAGUUUCUGAAUUAUCAUUGUGUAAAUUGAAUACUUUUUAUUUAAACUCAAUCCCUACAAAUUAUGGUGACACAUGAAUGCCUGUAUUAUGACCUGGACCCAGCAACAGAAGAAGAAACCAGAAAGGACAUUUAAAAUGUUUCUCCAAGAUGCAAACACAGUCUCUGCCUUGCUUUGGAGGUCACCUUACAUUGGCAUUGAUUCUCUCCCCCCCCCCCCAUUCUCCACCCCACCUCUUUUUGAGUUUUUAUUUGGAGGGAGGGAUGUUCCCUCCCAGUGUUGGAGAUCGAACCCAAGAAUCCAUACACAGUAAGAAAGCAUUCUAUCUCUGAUCUACAUCCCCAAUUAGCUUUAUCUUGGGGUAGUCUCACUCACACAAACUUAAAUACUCACAGAACUUCCCUCUGCUGCUACCUAAUCAAACACUACACCAUUUAUUACAAGCCCAAUAUGUGAAAAUAAUAGCUUGUACAUGAGUAGCAGACAGCAGAAAUAAUUUUUGUAAAAUAACAGUCAUCUCUAGAUUAUUCAUGGGAGCUUCUUCUUUUUAUAUCCUAUCAGUGACUCUGGAUAAUAUCCUUAAGCUAAUUUAAUUUUCCCUUUGGGCCUAGCCCAAUGGAGUGGUCAAAAAGAGGAUACACUAAGCCUGCAAUGAAGGAGCUCUAGAUCAGGGUGGGUGUUAAGAGAAAAGGAGCCCCUCCAAAUGUCAAUAUAAAUGCUGCAUAUUCCAAAUGUUUGGGCUGGAUUCAUGGAAUAUACAGUCUAAAAUAUAUUCAUGGACCAUAAUAAAGAGAGAAUUUCUAACAUUAUAGUAAGACUAAAACACUUUAUCAUUACUCUGCAGUUAUAGUUUAAAUUUUGUCUCCCCUCACCCUACACCCAACUUGUAUGUUGAAGUCCUAACCACCCCCCCAAUACCUUAGAAUAGGACUAUAUUUGGAGAUGGUGCUAUUACAGGGAAAAUUAAGGUAAAGUGAGAUCAGAUGGGCCAUAACCCAGUACAACUAGUGUCCUUAUAAAACAAGACUAGGACACAGAGGACUCACAGACUCAGGGGUAACUAUGUGAAGAGACCAUGAGAAGGCAGCCAUGGCAAGCUGCAAAGAGGCCUCCAAAGGAACCAAAUCUCCUAACACCUCUGCCUUGGACUUAUAUAUUCUCGAACUGUGAGAAAACAAACUUCUGUUGUUUAAGAUGCCCAGCCUGUGGAAUUAUGUUAUGACCGCCCCAACAAACUAAUUCAUACAACUAAAUUUUUAAAAUUCAUCCUUUAUUUUUAUGUAGGAUAAAAGUAUUUUUGAGAUGAGUUCUGUGUAUUUUCCCUGGAUCAAGGAAAAACUGUAUUAAAAAGUAAUAUGCAAUCUCUUUAAUGUAUGUAUUCUCAUAGAAAUAAAUUCGUAUAACUCUAGAUCUUAUUAACAUACAUUUUUUGCUACUUUCCCCUUUUUAAAAAAUUACCUUUACUAGCUUUGAUAGUUAUUCCUUUCGUUUAUUCUUCACUUUGUUUUAAAUUGACAAAUUGUUCAAGGAAUAAUAUUUCAUUUUCAGAAAGAC